This is a non-coding RNA of Ameiurus melas (black bullhead), 75 nucleotides long. NCBI's taxonomy places the organism in Eukaryota, Metazoa, Chordata, Actinopteri, Siluriformes, Ictaluridae. The record is from the annotation of a GenBank genome assembly.
UGGUUGCUAGCUCAGUGGUUAAGGCAUCAGGACUACUGAUUGGAAGGUCAUGAGUUCAAAUCCCAGCACUGCUAU